Fukomys damarensis (Damara mole-rat) is the source of this 2555-nucleotide long non-coding RNA. NCBI's taxonomy places the organism in Eukaryota, Metazoa, Chordata, Mammalia, Rodentia, Bathyergidae. The record is from Ensembl.
CGCCGAAUAAAACAGGAGAGACACCUUCCCAUUCAAUGACAAUAUGAAGAAACUCCACACACAAAAACGCUGAAAAAGGUUUACCAAUACCACCAACACGAGAGCGAAAAAUACUCAGAUAACAAAUCCACUUCUGUUUCUAAACUGGAACCCUUAAUCUCUGCAAAUGUUUAAUUACUCUUAAAGUCUCUUCAAUUAAGGAAAAAAAUCUGGCACGCAAGCCCAUCCCUGCAGCCCAGGCACCCUGCACAACAGUGACGAGGAGGAGGAGGAACCGGAGGGGUGCCGCGAUCUCGCUCCAGUCCGGGGGGCGUGUUCCCCAAGGUUUUCGUUUCCUUUUUACUGCAACGACAGCUGCAGCGCCACAAGGAGCACUAAGCCACACGGUCCCGGGGCCCCAAGACAUUGUGUGGGGACAGAAAGGAAAGGAGGAUCUGAGGUUUCCAAAGGUGCAGAGGGAAAGGAUCGGCGCGGGGCCGGACAGGGAUCGACCACCCGGUCUGGAAUCCAGACAAGCCGGCGGAAGUGACGCCACGACACCGGCCUGUUUCCUUGGAAACAGAGACGCCGUAUGCUCCUUUGCUCCGAGGGAGGAGUCUGGGGUUUCCUGAGGAGCUUUCCAUUCGCACCCGGAAACUGAGGCGCGUUUGGGGUUCUCCUUGGGCCAGCGCCGGGCGUGCCUAGGACAGACCUAGCCAUGGCGCCGAUCCCGUCCGACACUGUACUGCCGCCCUCCGUGAGAGGUGGGGCUGUCAACUUAGUGUGCCAGGCGGACGACCCCCUACCCCGGUCGCUGUGCCUGCACCCUGUGCUCGGCAGCCCAAAGUAUCUGGAAAGAAAGAGGUCAGCUCCGACCAGCCUCGCCCCCAAGGCUUCUCCCUAGACAGUUCCACACAGGCUCCCACGCGCCUGGCGGUCCCAGACCCACUCCUGCCUGCCGCGCCUGGCCACGGCCGGCACGGUGGUGAAAAGCUCGAUAGCGCCGUACAAUCGGAAGACCACGUGCACGCGAACAGCUGAAAUCAAAACAAUUCAAACUUGUGAGGAGGGCGUGGUGAUACUUUAAUGGACAUAGUUGGGAACAGAAUGCAAAGUGACCCAUUUAAGGGUAGGGAGAAGUGUGGAUCUGCCACACCUGUGGUAAAGUAAUUGGAAUUCAGAUUUGUAAAGGUUGUGAAUUCCUGUCUCUUUUAAUUUGUUCAAUAGAAAGUAGAUUUGAGGGCCUCUCCACUUCCCCAAGGAAACCUAAACCUGUUAAAUGCAUUAACUGGAUAAUCAAGGGCGCUUCUAGUAAUGUCAGACAUUCUUAGCAAAUUCAGUAUUUUGCUCUUCUAACUUUCCAAACUGCACCAAUAUGGUGGAGUUGGUUAUUCAAAAGGUCCCUUCUAGCUGUAAAAUGCUAUCAUUUUUUUUUUCUUGGCAUCAUGUUUUACCUUCAUUAUCUCCUUUCCUACUGUUCCUCAGAUUCCGAUUAGACUCUCACUUUGGGCUGUGUCUGUAGCACUUAAGUGACAGAAAGAAAUGCCCUCAUAUUCUACUCCUGCCAGUCUUGCAACGGAGCUAAAUUAAUGUUUCUAAAACACAUUUUAUUAUGGCGUUCUCUAGUCUUACUACAGAUUACCUACAAAGUAAGCUUUAUACCUAUAUUCAUAUUCACUAUCCUCCACAAUUUAGCCUAGAAACUGCACACUAGCGUCCUGUGACAAACUGUUUAGCAGGUAUUUGCCAACGUUGUCUUCCGCUAACUUCUAACUACUCAGUGUUUUUCUGACUUUUGGAACUACAACUUGCAGUAACAAAUUAAUUUUACAUUGUAAGCCAGUGUACACACUUAUACAUACAGAUACCCUUUCUGAAAUACAAGUUUCACAAUACUUUACUGUGUAAGAUAGUGUAAAAAGCAAAUAAUAUAAUAUGAAAACAUGUUAUGCUACAUUGUAGUGAGUAAUCUGUAAAUAAUACAGAAGCAAGCUAGGAAAUAUUUUAGUUAGUCCCAUGCUUAUAGAUUUCUUUCAGAACCUGAGGAGCUGACACAUAAACAUUUGGCCUAGUGUCGAGCCUGAUCUUUUAUUUUAUUUUUCAAUGUAUCAACGGUCAAAAUCCCAAUUUGGUAUGAUCCAUACUUAGGUAGUUAUGAAUCACAAUAAUGUGUGUCCAUGUUUUCUUAGCAAUAAGUUCAUCUGUAGUCUUCAUCUGACCUGAUAGCUAAACUUGUAUGGCACUCUUUUUUCUGUAUAAAUGAAGUAUUAGGCUCCAGUAAUUUUUUCACAAAACACUAUAUUUAAUGGAAUCAUUUAUGCUUUUUAAAUUAAAGAAAAAAAAUUUUUGAGACAGGUCUUGCUAUGUAGUUCAGGCUGGCCAUGUAACUCACUAUGUAACCCAGGCUGACCUCUCAAAUGAGUCUUAUAUACAUUUGUUAUGAAUUUAGUGUUUUAAGUUAUUUUUUGUUUUUAGUGGUUUCUUACAAUAUUUUGCACUGCUGCCGUGCUUGUGCUUGUUGAUCGUGUUUGCUCUUCCAUUGCUUGAAAUUCCAUAAUAAAUUGUAUAGUUUUCAC